This 75-nucleotide transfer RNA is filed under the name Pseudoxanthomonas sp. JBR18. Its description in RNAcentral is "tRNA-Glu". It matches the Rfam family "tRNA". Rfam says of the family: Transfer RNA (tRNA) molecules are approximately 80 nucleotides in length. Their secondary structure includes four short double-helical elements and three loops (D, anti-codon, and T loops). Further hydrogen bonds mediate the characteristic L-shaped molecular structure. tRNAs have two regions of fundamental functional importance: the anti-codon, which is responsible for specific mRNA codon recognition, and the 3' end, to which the tRNAs corresponding amino acid is attached (by aminoacyl-tRNA synthetases). tRNAs cope with the degeneracy of the genetic code in two manners: having more than one tRNA (with a specific anti-codon) for a particular amino acid; and 'wobble' base-pairing, i.e. permitting non-standard base-pairing at the 3rd anti-codon position. RNAcentral also lists the same sequence under 1 other name. The record is from RNAcentral. Lineage: Bacteria; Pseudomonadati; Pseudomonadota; Gammaproteobacteria; Lysobacterales; Lysobacteraceae.
GUCCCCAUCGUCUAGCGGUUAGGACACCACCCUUUCACGGUGGCGACCGGGGUUCGAUCCCCCGUGGGGACGCCA